GCUGGCCUGCGGCGUCUGUUUGUGCAGAGCGAGGCCCCGCCGGCCGGGCUUGACGUCAGGCUGGCAGGGCCUGGAACGGCCCCGCAUCGCGGCCCCCUGGGGGCAGGACGACACCGCUGGGGGCCGAGGGCAGGGCACGCCUUCGGAAUCCGGCUUCGAAGCCGGCCGCCUGACCUGGGGCAAGUGCUUUCAACUCUCUGAACUUCGGUUCCUCAUCUGCCAGUUGGCAGACGCUCAGCAAAUCUUCCUAGACUCACGGGGCGAAUUGUACAGUUGGGUAAAUCGAGGCCCAGAGAUGGCAAAAGGACCGUCCAAGGUCGUACAGCCACCCGGAAUUACAAUUCUUUUCUGCCGGGUCACACGCUGUCAUCCACGUGUUACCUAAGAGAGCUUUCCAGCCUGUGCUAAGAAAACUGCCCCACAUCAUCUGCAGUAGGACGGGGGAGUUGGAGCCCUGGUCAGGCCACUCUGCUACUGACCACAGUUUUCUCAUCUCUAAAAAGGCGCAGUAACAAUAUAAUUACCGUAUGCAGUCCCCCAGGAUACAGGGUCAAAGGAGAGCACAACCAUCGCAGUUGGAAGCCCAUGGGGCAGAAGCAAGGUCUCGCUGUGUUACCCUGGCUGGAGUGCAGUGGCUACUUACAGGCAUGAUCAUAGCAUACUGCAGCCUCGAACUCCUGGACUAGAGCAGUUCUCCUGCCUCAGCCUCCAGAGCAGCUGGGACUGCAGACACGCACCACAGAGCCCAGCCUGAGUCAUUUUGAUUCUGUAACUGGCUUCCUCUCGGCGGGCAGGCUCACACCCUCCACCCCCAGCUGGAGAUGGAAGGAGGAUGCUCACCGCCCAUUCCUCAUGCAGGCCAUCGAUGGAAAUGUCAGACAGUGCGAGUCCACGCCUGAACACUUCUGGGGUCCGCUCUGGGACUGACACUGGCAGAUCCAUCGUGGCACCCGAGCUCUGUGAGGGCAAGACUUUGUUCGGUUGUGGGCUAUGCCCCCAACCCCUCGGACAGUGCCUGCACAGGUGGACAUUUUUGUUGGAUGAAGGAUUUUCUGUUAAAUGUGUCUGGCACACACAGAAAAACAAAGCCCAGCAGAUGCCGUUCCAUUGUUUGCUGACUUUCAUUGAUUCUAUGAGAAGUCUGCAGUCUUUUGCAGCGUUGUUUUCCUAUGUAUAAUUGUCUCCUCCCACCCCACUCACCCCAGCUGCUUUCCACAUUCUCUCUCUUUGAUUUUCAGCAGUCUGCCCAUGAUGUGCCUAAAUAGGACUUUCUUUGCAUUCAUCUUGGCUGGGGCUCACUGAACUUUCUGAAUCUGUAGAUUAAUUUUCUUUUUUCAAUAAACCUUGGAAUAUUUUCAGCAUAA
RNAcentral lists this long non-coding RNA (1364 nucleotides) under Homo sapiens (human). Its description in RNAcentral is "long intergenic non-protein coding RNA 963". Lineage: Eukaryota; Metazoa; Chordata; Mammalia; Primates; Hominidae. The record is from RNAcentral.